UUUCAUAAUGUUGAGUUAGGUGCCCGCAAGGGCUUAAUAGGGAAGUCCGGUGCAAUACCGGCGCGGUCCCGCCACUGUAAUGGGGAGCAGGCUUAAGAUAUGCCACUGGGAUGAAGUAUCCUGGGAAGGUUUAAGCAAGCUAUGAUCCGGAGCCAGGAGAACUGCCUAGCUGACAAUCACCGU
Molecule: non-coding RNA, 183 nt
Filed under: Sporomusa sphaeroides
Lineage: Bacteria; Bacillati; Bacillota; Negativicutes; Selenomonadales; Sporomusaceae
Also listed under: 1 other name
Source: RNAcentral